GCCUCUCCAGUCUCCCCCAUCUAGGGUUCCUUCCAUUCCCUUCUUGGUUCGCCCCAGGUUCCUUCAAAUCGACUGAAGUGUCGGCAUUAGGAGCAGCAGCUCAUCUUCUCCGCCCGUCAUUCAGCCAAGCUUGCAGAAUAUUUGGAAAGAGACGGUUUCAGAUCUGUCCAGGUCUCCAGGAAGCACUGCAGGCCCUUGAAGUCCUGAAUACCCACGGAGAUCAUCUGAUCUCCUUGCGACGCUAGCAGAUUUUCCCAUGCAAUGAUAAUGCUUUGCCUUACUAGGAUGCAAGUCGAAACUAUUUCGAAGGCAAGGCUACCCUGUGAAACAAGGUGGAGAACGUAGGAUGUACUAUCUGAAGCUGCAUUCUGCCUCUUCUUUCUGUCUGUCUCCCUAACAGUAUGCAGAAACCACGGGCUUGGAUAUUAAGUUGAAGAAUGAAUCAUUGGUCGAAAUUUAAUUAGUACAAUCCAUUGCACUUAAAACCCUGGUGUUCUUUAUGUAAGAUGUAGCUUUGUUUGGUAAACUUCUGAAUUCCUGAAAGAGCAGAUUGUGUUCUAACUACAUGUUCCCACGUUUAUCUGAUGAGACGCCUAAGAAUCAUAAUCAUGCAUCCGUGCAAGUACAAUGCGCUUCCCAAUUAAGUUCACUUAUCUGAGAUGUCUGUAUCCAUGCCACAUCCAAAGCAUGAAGAUCUCAACUUUUUUUCUUUUUGCAGUUUCCAGUGGGCUUUGAGCUGACCAUCCUCGCUAUGUGCAUGAACUGAAUGACCAUGCUACCAAACAAGCAGAGACCUGGGUGAGGCGUCGUCAUGUUGGCUUACGGAUACUAAUCCCAUGAAUGAUCAAUUAAGAAAAUGUGCAUCUUAGCUACUUCCAAAAUAUGUGCCCCUCGAGCUAUUGCCCUGUUUCCAUUGAGUAUGGAUGGAUAAUCAUCAGCCAUGCAAGCAAGUACAUGAACUUCCCCAGUUAACACUCGUCAUCUCUCCAAAAACACA
Molecule: long non-coding RNA, 997 nt
Organism: Triticum aestivum (bread wheat)
Lineage: Eukaryota; Viridiplantae; Streptophyta; Magnoliopsida; Poales; Poaceae
Exons: 3
Source: RefSeq, a predicted model, not a curated record